UUGGUGCCGAAGGAAUCAUCAUCAUCUUCGCCAUCAUCGCUAGCCACCUAGGCCAUCCGUGCCUUCGCCGCCCACCACGAUUCCUCCCUCUCGUCCGCUUAUGGUGAAUCCGCCUUCUCCUCUGCCUAUCGGGAAGCCAGUCAUCCGAAUCCCCAGGGCCCCCACCUUUGAGGAGUUCCGAUCUACGCCAGCAACAAAGGACUCGUCGCCAUCUGCACCGUCAUCGCUAGCCACCCAGGCC
This 241-nucleotide long non-coding RNA is filed under the name Elaeis guineensis (African oil palm). RNAcentral describes it as "long non-coding RNA (EGUI_LNC020356)". The record is from RNAcentral. Lineage: Eukaryota; Viridiplantae; Streptophyta; Magnoliopsida; Arecales; Arecaceae.